UACGUAGGGCGCAAGCGUUAUCCGGAAUUAUUGGGCGUAAAGAGCUCGUUGGCGGUUUGUCGCGUCUGCCGUGAAAGUCCGGGGCUCAACUCCGGAUCUGCGGUGGGUACGGGCAGACUAGAGUGAUGUAGGGGAGACUGGAAUUCCUGGUGUAGCGGUGAAAUGCGCAGAUAUCAGGAGGAACACCGAUGGCGAAGGCAGGUCUCUGGGCAUUAACUGACGCUGAGGAGCGAAAGCAUGGGGAGCAAACAGG
Molecule: ribosomal RNA, 253 nt
Filed under: uncultured bacterium
Lineage: Bacteria
Description: partial 16S ribosomal RNA
Rfam family: Bacterial small subunit ribosomal RNA
Source: RNAcentral